Molecule: long non-coding RNA, 1119 nt
Organism: Ictalurus punctatus (channel catfish)
Lineage: Eukaryota; Metazoa; Chordata; Actinopteri; Siluriformes; Ictaluridae
Source: Ensembl
CCCAGGACCAACUGCACAUACACUACCACAUUCAACACUAAAUAUCCCACCAUGUCCAACACCACAUCCAUCACCUCAUACAACACCAGGUCCAACACCACGUGCACCACCACGCCCACCACAAUGUUCAACACCAGGUCCAACACCGCGUGCACCACCACGCCCACCACAAUGUUCAACACCACAUCCAACAUCAGGUCCACCACCACAUCCACCACCACAUCAAACACCUCUUACACCUCUACGUCCAACACCACAUACACCACCAGGUCCACGACCACAUCCAACACCUCAUACACCACCAGGUCCACGACCACAUCCAACACCUCAUACACCACCAGGUCCACGACCACAUCCAACACCUCAUACACCACCAGGUCCACGACCACAUCCAACAACGCAUAUACCACCACAUCCAACACCUCAUACAUCACCACAUCCAACACCACAUUCACCACCAGGUCCACGACCACAUCCAACAACGCAUAUACCACCACAUCCAACACCUCAUACACCACCAGGUCCAACACCACAUCCAACACCACAUACACCACCAGGUCCAACACCACAUCCAACAUCUCAUACACCACCAGGUCCAACACCACAUAAACCACCAGGUCCAACACAAAAUAUACUACCGCGUCCAACACCACAUACACCAUCAGGUCCAACACCACAUACACCACCAGGUCCAACACCUCAUUCACCACCACAUCCAACAGCACAUACACCAGCAUUUACAACACCACGUCCACCACCAUGCCCACCACCAAGUCCACGACCACAUCCAACACCUCAUACACCACCAGGUCCACGACCACAUCCAACAACGCAUAUACCACCACAUCCAACACCACAUUCACCACCAGGUCCAACACCGCAUAUACCACCACAUCCAACACCUCAUACACCACCACAUCCAAGACCACAUAUACCACCACAUCCAACACCACAUUCACCACCAGGUCCAACACCACAUCAAACACCACAUAAACCACCACAUCCAACACCACAUACACCACCACAUCCAACACCACGCCCACCACCAGGUCCAACACCACGUCCCCCACCACGCCCACCACCCUAUUCAACACCACAUCACACACUGGGUCCACCACC